RNAcentral lists this ribosomal RNA (544 nucleotides) under bacterium T-2-48-8G. Its description in RNAcentral is "bacterial SSU rRNA". It matches the Rfam family "Bacterial small subunit ribosomal RNA", at positions 371 to 908 of the family's 1533-position model. The record is from RNAcentral.
AUGGGGGAAACCCUGAUCCAGCCAUCCCGCGUGUAUGAUGAAGGCCUUCGGGUUGUAAAGUACUUUUGGCAGAGAAGAAAAGGUACCUCCUAAUACGAGGUACUGCUGACGGUAUCUGCAGAAUAAGCACCGGCUAACUACGUGCCAGCAGCCGCGGUAAUACGUAGGGUGCAAGCGUUAAUCGGAAUUACUGGGCGUAAAGCGUGUGUAGGCGGUUCGGAAAGAAAGAUGUGAAAUCCCAGGGCUCAACCUUGGAACUGCAUUUUUAACUGCCGAGCUAGAGUAUGUCAGAGGGGGGUAGAAUUCCACGUGUAGCAGUGAAAUGCGUAGAUAUGUGGAGGAAUACCGAUGGCGAAGGCAGCCCCCUGGGAUAAUACUGACGCUCAGACACGAAAGCGUGGGGAGCAAACAGGAUUAGAUACCCUGGUAGUCCACGCCCUAAACGAUGUCAACUAGCUGUUGGGGCCGUUAGGCCUUAGUAGCGCAGCUAACGCGUGAAGUNGACCGCCUGGGGAGUACAGUCGCAAGAUGANNACUCAAAGGA